AGGCGCCGCGGGGCAGCCCCGCCGCCGGGGGUCCUCACAGAGAAAAGGCCGUCGCCAUGGAGACGCGGCGCGCGCCGGCAACCGUUGGGCUGCUUAGGCAUGUCAAGGACAGUUUUCGGGACCGGGGCCUCGGCUCCAGGCACCCAACAGCACUGACAGCGUACCCUUCACGGGCGCUCAAUGCCUCGAUGCGGCCGCUGCCGCCACCAUCUCAGCUUUCCUCGCGGGCAGCACGCCGCGGCAAAACCUCACGUCGCCUAGCGAUGGCGCGGGGCGGGGACACGGACUGUGCCGGCCAGUCGGAGACUUCCGCUUCCGGAGCCGCGGCCAUCGCGCUCCCAGGCUUCGAAGGCUUGCCUGGCGACGUGGAGUGUCACACCUUGGUCCUCAGGGCCCCUAAAUCUCGGUCUCCCUCGCCUCGCAGCCUACCACCUUCGCUUGGCUGCCCGCCUCCUCAGCUAGCCAUGCUGGAGCAUCUGAGCUCGCUGCCCACGCAGAUGGUGAGGGCGCAGCCCGGGGACCUCCGCACGCCGCUCUUGUGCCUGGCAGCUUCGAAGCCCAUGUCCGAGCACCGACCCGAUGCUGCGCUGUUCUGGGCCCAGAUGGGAUUACAAGGGCCAGAAGCUAGCUGAACAGAUGUUUCAAGGAAUUAUUCUUUUUUCUGCAAUAGUUGGAUUUAUCUACGGAUACGUGGCUGAACAGUUCGGGUGGACUGUCUAUAUAGUUAUGGCCGGAUUUGCUUUUUCAUGUUUGCUGACACUUCCUCCAUGGCCCAUCUAUCGCCGACAUCCUCUCAAGUGGUUACCUGUUCAAGACUCCAGCACAGAAGACAAGAAACCAGGCGAAAGAAAAAUUAAGAGGCAUGCUAAAAAUAAUUGAGGUUUUCAUGAUUCAGCACCUGGCUUUUGUUUCCUGUGAGAUGAGCUAAAUUGCUUUCAUACCCCAAAUAUGAGCUAAAACCACCUAAUGCUCUUAUGGCACAGCUGUGUAUAGAUUUAGUUCUCUUUAUAUUUCAUUUCUAGCCCAGUUGGGUUUUGAUUUAUGUAAGUAGUUUAGAUCGUCUCUUCAUAAUCUUGCUCUGAAAUGAGGAAGAGAACCCAAGUUUGCAGUUUCAGGUGUAAAUGAUGAAGAAUAAAUGCCUCAUCAAUGAUAGUACAAUGUAACUAUCAAAGUUUUAUAAUUCAUUAGGAGUUAUUAAACUAUUUUAAUGUUUCCGAUUAAAACUCAUAGUGCAA
RNA transcript from Sapajus apella (tufted capuchin), 1235 nucleotides. It is a transcript of the gene named signal peptidase complex subunit 1, with no coding region annotated. The transcript is spliced from 4 exons. The record is from RefSeq and is a predicted model, not a curated record. NCBI's taxonomy places the organism in Eukaryota, Metazoa, Chordata, Mammalia, Primates, Cebidae.